CGGCGAGUGAAGCGGCAACAGCUCAAAUUUGAAAUCUGGCUCUUUCAGGGUCCGAGUUGUAAUUUGUAGAGGGUGUUUCGGGUGCGGCGCCGGUCUAAGUCCCUUGGAACAGGGCGUCAUAGAGGGUGAGAAUCCCGUAUGUGACUGGCGACCAACCCCGUGUGAAACCCCUUCGACGAGUCGAGUUGUUUGGGAAUGCAGCUCAAAAUGGGUGGUAAAUUUCAUCUAAAGCUAAAUACCGGCCAGAGACCGAUAGCGCACAAGUAGAGUGAUCGAAAGAUGAAAAGCACUUUGGAAAGAGAGUCAAAAAGUACGUGAAAUUGUUGAAAGGGAAGCGCUUGCGACCAGACCUGUCCGCCGGCGAUCAGCCUCGGUUUUCCGGGGUGCACUCGUCGGCGAUCAGGCCAGCAUCGGUUCGGGCGGCGGGUAAAAGGCCUUGGGAAUGUGGCUUCCUCUCGGGGAAGUGUUAUAGCCCUCGGUGCAAUACCGCCAGCCCGGACCGAGGACCGCGCUUCGGCUAGGAUGCUGGCGUAAUGGUCGUAAGCGACCCGUCUUGAAACACGGACCAAGGAGUCUAAUAUCUAUGCGAGUGUUUGGGUGUCAAACCCAUACGCGUAAUGAAAGUGAACGGAGGUGAGAACCCUUAAGGGCGCAUCAUCGACCGAUCCAGAUGUCUUCGGAUGGAUUUGAGUACGAGCAUAGCUAUUGGGACCCGAAAGAUGGUGAACUAUGCCUGAAUAGGGUGAAGCCAGAGGAAACUCUGGUGGAGCUCGCAGCGGUUCUGACGUGCAAAUCGAUCGUCAAAUUUGGGUAUAGGGGCGUGCUUUCGCCCCUGACAGGCCGUGCCCCCCGGGGCAUGGCUCCUAGUCUUUCGAGGCGAGGUCUACGAUCUGCGGGGAUGUCUGGUUCGGUCGGACUGCCCGCACCCAGCCGUUUUAAGGCUCGGGUCACAGGUCAAGCAUAGGCCGGAGGCCGGUUUUCGGCCACUUCUGAUAUGAUCGCACCGGGGUUGAUGAAGCCCCGGGCCAAUGGGAAAGACUAAUCGAACC
RNAcentral lists this ribosomal RNA (1049 nucleotides) under Lecanora symmicta. RNAcentral's name for it is "LSU rRNA". It matches the Rfam family "Eukaryotic large subunit ribosomal RNA", at positions 87 to 941 of the family's 3401-position model. The record is from RNAcentral. Lineage: Eukaryota; Fungi; Ascomycota; Lecanoromycetes; Lecanorales; Lecanoraceae.